UGGCACAAGUCACCGUGCGUGCUGCUCACAGCAGCCCCUUUCAGGUGGACAACACAGUGAUUCAGUUACACAGGAUUUUUGGCAGAGCCACCGUGUUUAGUCUUGUUACUGCCCAGUGCACCACGUGCUCCUUUUAAGAUCCCUCAUUCUUGGUAUGUUGAACGAUUUUCAGCUGAAUCCUGGACAUUUUUGUAUCAUAUUCUGAGACUCUGGUUAUAGUUGGACCCUCGGUUUUAGCUGGGCUUUUGGACACCGCUCAUUAAUGUCGGGUGGAAGUAAACUGAAUUCUUACGCAUGAGACAGAGGCUGACCACGGAUGUGCAGGGCAAAGGGGCCACCUGAUGUGGGAGAUGGCUGAGGUCUACAAAAGGCAGUUACGUAAGUGAGAUGCUGCCACCUCCAAGGCCCCACAGUCCUCAAGCAACGUCGAAGAACAUGACUCAGGUCAAGUGGGAACGUGUGUUGAUCAGAUAAGCAAGGCAGGUGAGGAGCACCCAUGGGUGGUGGAUUUGUGAGCAGAGAUCACCCCAGUGCUUGGAUGCAUGCCAACAUACUUUGCUCAAUUUCUGCCUUCUAAAUCUGGACGCUGCCCUCUUUCUGUGGCUACAGACUUGCCCCCUGAAAGGAAGGAUGUGCUGAGAGUAGACACUUGGUGGGGUGUCUUUCUAGCCCCUUUUCUAGAACAGGCACCUUUCUUGGAAUCUCACUUGGGCACCCCACCAUCCAUAUAUUCUCUGCCCCUCCCCACCUGCUAUGGGAGAAGGAGCCAGGAUGGACAUCUGGCCAUCACUGUGUUGAUCUUGUUAUCUCUGGGGUAUUCUCUUAACCAGAAGAACUGAAAUGGGCCAUGCUAGAGGGGUGGCCAUUUCCACCUGACACGUGUCCCAAGAAGCAGAGAACAGACCAUGGAGAACAGCAGGUAGCUCUGUGCUUGGGUGCAAGAGAUGCCCCUGUGUCCUUAGAUAGAAGCCACCAUCCACCCCAUUCAAGCCAGGCUGAGAAGCCUUCUCUAUUUGCCGUCCUCAAGUGUGAGCUAUUUCCUGGAGCCACAGUUAGCAUCUCUACCUUGUUAAAAUGACUGAUAAUCCAAACUCUGGGUGUGUGGCCAGGGGAAUUGUGUCAGGAAUCUAUUACAGACUGUCCCCAAACUCAGCUGAGGUCUACAAAACGGUGGUAGACAUAUGUUACCUCACACAAUUUCUGUGGAUCUGGAGUCCGGGAGCAGCUUAGCUGGGUGGCUCUGGCUCAGCGUCUCUUGUGAGGCUGCAGCACAGUGGUCGCUGGGGCUUCAUCAUCUGAAGCCUCGACUGGGGCCAGUGGAGCUGCUUCUAGGCUCACUCACCGGUUGCUGAGAUGCUUCAGGUCCUCCCUGGCUGUUGGUCAGAGGCUUUAGUUCCUUAGGAUAUUUCUACAGGACUAUAGUUUGCUUCCCUCAGAGAGAAGAAGGGAGGGGCAGAGAGAGAGGGAGGGAGAGAGGAUGUGAGAUGCGUGGGGCUGGCUACUUAAUGGAGAAGAGAGUGGGGACAAGCAUUCUGGAGAGCUCUGAGAAAGCCCGUAGAGUUCCGGAAUGUUGCUCAGGGUCCAGGGAUGAGAGAUGCAGCUGAUGGAGAAGGUGGGGGACCAUAGGGCUUCAGCUGGUGCAGAGGGAGCAGGGGAGGGUGAGAUCCUUGGGGUUACAGUCGGGAGCCCGGGGGUUACCCAGGGGAAUGAUGUCUUCUCACGACUCCAGCAUCAGUGAGCAGAGAACGGAGCGGUGGGCGGCGGGAGAGGGAGCCAGAUGUGGGCAGAGAGACACACUGUGGUUACUUCCUCUUCUCAGAUGAGGAAGCUGAUGCUGGAGAAGCAGAGCAGCUAGUAAGAGGUCACAGGGCUGGGAGGUGUGCAGAUGGGCUUCGAGCACAGGCCGUCUGCCCGGAGCACGUGCCUUCACCGGAUGACUCUGACCGUCUGGGGGGCGUUGAAUUGUGUCCCCACAAGAUCCGUCCAGUUCCUGGUACCUGCCAAUGUAUCCUUAUUUGGAAAAGAUACCUUUGCAGACUUAACUGAGUUCAGGACCUUGAGAUGAGAUCAGAGCGGAUAAAGGGUGGGCUCUCUAGCCAAAGACAGGUGUCCCUGUGAGAUAAAGGAGAAGGAGGUUUGAGACACAGACACACUGGGGGCAGAAGGCCAAGUGAGAAAGAAGACAGAAAUUGGAGUGAAGCAUCCACAAGCUAAGGAUGCCAGCACUGCCAGCAGCCUCCAGAGCUGGGAGACAGGUGUGAGCAGGCUCCAGAGGGAGCGAGACCCUGCCGACACCUUGAUUUAGGGCUUCGGUUUCCAGAACUGGGAGAGAAUGGACUCCUGUGUCCUAAAGCCCUGUCAUCUGUGGCUGUUCGUUACAGUAGCUCUAGGACCUUAAUACAGCCUUCCCUGCCCCUUCCAGGGACAGCCUGAGCUCCCCAUAUUUCCAGACACUCACCUGACCUGGGAAGACAGCCAGACCUGAGGGGGAGGGGGCAGAGACCCCUUCUCCUGCUGCCUGUUCUCCCCAGGAAACUUCCACGAUGCCCCCUGCUUCUUCAGAGCCUGACCUGAGCUCCAAACAGCUCCAAACUGAGAUAGGGAGAGAGAGGGAGAGAGAGAGAGAGAGAGAGAGCGAGAGUGCCCAUGUGGAGUGGGAAGGGCCUCUCCAGCUUCGAUAUUCGUAAGAAUCACCUGGAGAGCCUGAAAAACAUCCCUGGGCGCCCCCACCCAUCUGCAGCCCCAAGAGGUUCUGAUUCAGUAGGUGGGAGGUGGGCCCGGGAAUGUGCCUGACUCAUAAACUGUUGGGGUCGCUGGUCUGGGGCCCACAAAUUGAGUAGCACCAUUCUAGGCAGAGGCAACAGCUUAGACUGAGGGGGUGGAACAGACGUGUGGGUGGGAGAACCCCAGUGGGCAGGGAGCACAGAGGCUGGAACUGGGGGAGCCUGAUGGUGGAGCUCAAACGGGAUGGCGCUGGUCCUCGAGGGUCAGGGGCAUGUCCCAGGCCAGGACACCCGCUCCAGGACCUGCUUAUGGAAGGGGAGCCAUGAGUACGCCUGGCAAGUGCAAGACAGUAUGAGACUUGGGGGACUGGGUAGGGCCUUGGGUCAAGGGUCUUGAGCAUGGGGUUGGCGGCUGCCAUGGAGGUUUAGAGCAGGGGGGGUGUCCCCCCACCUUCAGGCGGGGCAGCCAGCUCACAAAUGUCAGUCCCACCAACAGGGAACCCAGCGGGGUGUCUGCAAGUUUCUCAAAAUCUCCAGCCUGCAGAUGCUGGCACUCAGGCUGGCAGGCGAGCUCAGCUGCAAGGGGCCCAGAUUCGGAUUGUCUUAAGGAGACAAAACUGAGACAAGCCAUAUUGAAGCCGCUCGGGAGGCCUCAGAAGGAGCCUCUGUCUCCCUGUGAUUGUUCCCGAAAGCAAGGCCCCUUCCAUCUGCGAGGCUAGGCCCCUGUCUUUGCAAAUGCCUCCCACUCCCCAUGGAGCCGGAACGCUUAAUGCAGCUCGGCGGGGCCCUCAUAAACAGCCCUUCCCCAGCUGGUAGGAGCUGUUUUCUUUUCCCCUCUAAGAGGUUUGUUCCUGGUCAUAAAUUCUGCAGGCCCAGGCGGCCAGGCAAGGAUGAACACGUUGGUAAACACUGUAGUUAAAAACACAGCUUCUCGGCUGAGAAAGGGGCCCUGACAAUGGAGCCUUGUCCCCGGCAGAGAAUCUGAUGGCCCAUCUUCUUUGAUUCCUUAACCUUGCUGCGGGCUUGUAUGCAAUUGGCCUCAUUCUCCGGGGUCCAUCAAACGUACAUUUAAACGCCUUCAUUAGCAUCUUCCUCUGAUCCAGAACCGCUCGGCGAAUCCAACAGGCAUUGCGGAGAGGGCAGCCGCGUUUCUCUCUGGUGAACAUCGAAAACUCCUUGACAAAGUUCCUUUUACAAUUUACUUCCUUUGUUCCAUCUUCAAGAUCUUUCGUGACCAAUGUACUCGGAGAUGACUUGGGGACAAAAAUCCCGUCUGGCCCAGACAGUAAAUCUAGCCUCCAUUCAGACGGGUUAAAUGCGUGCUUUAUGCCUAUUGUCGCAGGCUCUCCAAAGCUCUUGCGCCUUUAAGGGUUUCCUACAAUAAAUUACACCCAUCACCCCGUGGUCUGGGUUGAGGGAGGGGACUGGCAGUGGGGAGGGCUUGCGUUCACCUCGCAUGGGAUGAACAGGCUGGGACGAGGCUGCCAGGCAGUGGCACAACUGCUCUGCAUUGCCACCAAUCACCCCGGACUUCUAGCCUCGUGCUCCUUGGGAGUCUUGUUUGCAAGAAGCCAAAAGCCCAACUCUAAGUGGAUGUGGCCAAAAUGUACUGGGAAGGGUGGCUUGCUUCGGUCUCCACUGCCCCAGGACCAGGCAGCUCUCUCCAGGAGGGGAUGUCCCUAGGCUCCCUCUGGUGGGUCACAGUGGGUCCAGUGGCAGCUGCUGGAGCCCCAGGACCCUCAAGUUCAAGUCCGUCAUGAUGGAGCAAGCAUCCUUUCCCAGCAGUCCCUAGCAAAAGCCUCAUUGGCUGAGAUUGGGUCACAUGAUUGUUCCUUGACCAAUCCCAGUGGUUCCCUAGCAGGUGCCUCAUUGGCUGGAAUUGGACCACCUGACUUUUUCUGAGCAAUCCCAGUGUUCCUUAGCAGGAGCCUCACUGGCAUGGGUUGGACCACAUGACCAUCCCUGCCAAAUCCCAGGCCUGGGUCGUUCUAGUGGGGGAAAGCUGGGUUGUGGUGCCCAGAAGAGCCAGGAAAAGCUCUGGACAGCCGGAGCAGCAGACAUUGGUUAUGGCGUCUAACCGAGGGCACCUCCUUUGCCCCACAGACCUGAGUCAGGGUGGCAGGGGGUGGCUCAGAGGCGGGAACCUAGGUUCCUUCCCUGCAUAUCUACCCCUGCGUCCACUGCAGAGUCUGUCUCCCCAUGGCCGCUGUGCUGCCUCCAGUUCGUGCCAACUCUGAUGGGCUCCGGACAACUCCGUAGCAUUUUCUCUGAGGCACGACUGUCGGCUGCAGGGGAAUUAGUGUUCUGCAAGUCCGGUGUUCGCUGGUCUGGAGGCCGCCACAGAUCUGAGGGCCAGGAUGGUGGCUCUGGCCAGGAUCGGAGCACGGGCGAAAGGGUCCAUGGUUUCAGCAGAUGCUUUUGAACCCUGGUCUCUGACCGUGGAGUGGUCCAGUAGAAAGCAUCGAAGACCAUGGCAGAGACCAAUCCCCUCAUCUUUCUUAUUGUCAAAACCAUGAUUUGGGAAAACAUUGAUCCAGCCUAAAUGUGCUGAAUACAUGACACAACAGUGGCUACUGACAUAUAAUGGGUGUUAUUGGAUGGGCCUUCUGGGGAAAUCCCUUAGCAGCUAAAUGGCCCCUUCUGUCCUUUCUUGAUUCUUCAUGCCCCAAAUGCAGAUGUGAUGGAAUUCCAUCCUCUCAUCAUUGCUCACACGUAAUGCUGUCAGACUCCCCCGCCCCCUUUUUUGGUCAGGCUGAAGGAUGCAAUGUGCCAUCCUUUUCAUCUCCUUAAUUACUUAAUUAUGGUGAGGUGUGAUGCCCACUUCAGAUUCUUUCCCUGUAUUUUGAGUCUUUGUAUCUUUUACCCAUUUUUCCAUUUAUUGAUUUGUAGAAGUUCUUUACAUAUUCUGGACAGGCAUCAUUUUGCCAAGGAUAAGCAUUGCAUACAUUUUCCCCACCUGUGGCUGACCUUCUCUUUUUUCCUAUGUUGUCUUUUGUCAUAUUCCAGGUUUUUACGUCUGCCCUAAGUAAAUGUAUUGAUCUUGUCCUAAUUGUGCUUUCUGUGUUGGUUUAACACAUCUCAUCUCAGGGUGGUAAGGAUAUUUUCCUAGGUUUUAUUUUAAAAUUGUAUGAAUUGUCUUUGUAUACUUAGGUCUCCUUUAACUGAAAUGGAUUUCUCUUUGCAGGUGUGAAGGAAGGAUCUAAUUUUGCCUGGCUUUCCUUUGUAAAGCCAAUCAUCCUAGGUCCAUGUAUUGAUUGCUUUUUCUUUUUCUAAAAUAAGUUUUAUUCUUAUAUAUCUUCCC
This 6024-nucleotide long non-coding RNA is filed under the name Sus scrofa (pig). Its description in RNAcentral is "lncRNA (ENSSSCG00040056389.1)". Lineage: Eukaryota; Metazoa; Chordata; Mammalia; Artiodactyla; Suidae. The record is from RNAcentral.